Nycticebus coucang (slow loris) is the source of this 686-nucleotide long non-coding RNA. RefSeq lists it as uncharacterized. Lineage: Eukaryota; Metazoa; Chordata; Mammalia; Primates; Lorisidae. The transcript is spliced from 3 exons. The record is from RefSeq and is a predicted model, not a curated record.
CUGUCUUUGAAUUUCUUAUUUUACCUCAUUUGGUUAAACCACACAAGUCCAGUGCUUGGAACUUCCGUUUUCUUAUCUCGAACAUCAUGUACUGUUCCAGCCCACAGCCAGCCACCCAGGAAGGAAGCAUUUUGUUCCUUUUAGACAGAGGGUCUGGCGGGCCAUGUGGCCACGCUGUGGAAAAGCUCUGCUCCAGUGAUUGAGCUCCUCUGGCACCCUGAGAUAUAAUAUUGAGUGCACUUUUCUACCCUGUUUCCCCGAAAAUAAGACAUCCUUCGAAAAUAAGACCUACUUACAGGAAAGAUUAGACGUGCCCUGAAAAUAAGACCUAGCGCAUCUUUGGGAGCACACCUUAAAAUAAGACACUGUCUUAUUUUUGGGGAAACAGGGCAAUUUGGAUUCAUUGAGACCAUAAAGGUCUGGAAGCUCUAAAAUGUUGGUUCAAUUCCCAGCUCUGACACAAAGAAGCUAAACAAACUACAAGAGAAUAUGUAGAAAAAUCAACCACAACUUUCCUCUGUGAACACAGGGCUGGGGUGCCACUGGGACACUGUGUGGCAUUUUUAAAACUUGUUCUCCAAAUGCUGAUUAUUCACCACUUGGCAUUCCAGAUUUUGUCUCUGGUCAUCAGUAAAUUGAUUGCUAACAGAACGAUGAUACCAUUUUAACUUUUAAAUAUGGGUUUC